Molecule: long non-coding RNA, 228 nt
Filed under: Elaeis guineensis (African oil palm)
Lineage: Eukaryota; Viridiplantae; Streptophyta; Magnoliopsida; Arecales; Arecaceae
Description: long non-coding RNA (EGUI_LNC000385)
Source: RNAcentral
UUGAAGCCCUAGAUUGGAUAGCAAUAAGGUCGGAUCGUAUCUUACAUAGCUCUCAAAGCUUUCAAUCUUUUUAUUUUAGUUAUUGCAUAGAUCUUAAAAUGAUCAUUGUGAAAUUUAAUGGUUGAUGUCGUGUAAGAAGGUAAACCAUUCUUUUAUGGGAAAGAUACAAACCGAAACCCAAUAACUGUGAUAUGAAACCUCUCUGAUUGAAGCAAUUAUUAUAUGGGC